Molecule: transfer RNA, 84 nt
Filed under: Echinostoma caproni
Lineage: Eukaryota; Metazoa; Platyhelminthes; Trematoda; Plagiorchiida; Echinostomatidae
Rfam family: tRNA
About the family: Transfer RNA (tRNA) molecules are approximately 80 nucleotides in length. Their secondary structure includes four short double-helical elements and three loops (D, anti-codon, and T loops).
Source: Rfam by way of RNAcentral
UGUCUCGUAGCUCAGCUGGUAGAGCAUGCGCUGUACGAAAGCGUAGGCGGCCUCCAUGCGUGGGUUCGAAUCCCAGCGAGGCUA